Molecule: ribosomal RNA, 826 nt
Filed under: uncultured crenarchaeote
Lineage: Archaea; Thermoproteati; Thermoproteota
Description: bacterial SSU rRNA
Rfam family: Archaeal small subunit ribosomal RNA
Source: RNAcentral
ACCUGACUGCUAUCGGAUUGAUACUAAGCCAUGUGAGUCGUUGUAGCAAUACAAGGCGCACGGCUCAGUAACACGUAGUCAAUCUAACCUAUGGACGGGGAUAACCUCGGGAAACUGAGGAUAAAACCCUAUAGAUCAUAAUGCCUGGAACGGUUUAUGGUCCAAAUGAUUCGUCGCCGUAGGAUGGGACUGCGGCCUAUCAGCUUGUUGGUGAGGUAAUGGCCCACCAAGGCUAUUACAGGUACGGGCUCUGAGAGGAGAAGCCCGGAGAUGGGUACUGAGACACGGACCCAGGCCCUAUGGGGCGCAGCAGGCGAGAAAACUUUGCAAUGUGCGAAAGCACGACAAGGUUAAUCCGAGUGGUUUCUGCUAAAGGAACCUUUUGUUAGUCAUAAUACCACUAAUGAAUAAGGGGGUGGCAAGUUCUGGUGUCAGCCGCCGCGGUAAAACCAGCACCUCAAGUGGUCAGGAUGAUUAUUGGGCCUAAAGCAUCCGUAGCCGGCUUUGUUAGUUUUCGGUUAAAUCCAUAUGCUCAACAUAUGGGCUGCCGGGAAUACUGCAAAGCUAGGGAGUGGGAGAGGUAGACGGUACUCCGUAGGAAGGGGUAAAAUCCUUUGAUCUAUGGAUGACCACCUGUGGCGAAGGCGGCCUACCAGAACACGUCCGACGGUGAGGGAUGAAAGCUGGGGGAGCAAACCGGAUUAGAUACCCGGGUAGUCCCAGCUGUAAACUAUGCAAACUCAGUGAUGCAUUGGCUUGUGGCCAGUGCAGUGCCGCAGGGAAGCCGUUAAGUUUGCCGCCUGGGAAGUACGUACGCAAGUAUGAA